CACUGGUUUUAGCUUCGGUG
This 20-nucleotide microRNA is filed under the name Caenorhabditis remanei. RNAcentral's name for it is "crm-miR-35c-5p". Its record names the gene crm-miR-35c-5p. Lineage: Eukaryota; Metazoa; Nematoda; Chromadorea; Rhabditida; Rhabditidae. The record is from miRBase by way of RNAcentral.